AGCAGCCACUGACUAGACUCAGUAAAAUAUACCUGAUAUAAAUUUUCCUUGCAAUAAAGCGGGGUGGGGCAGACCUCAUCUUCUGGCAGCAGGCAGUUUGGGAGAGUGAGAUGCAUAACACACCUAUUUCCUUCAGUAAUUUGUAGAAACAACUUCAGUGGUAAUUUAGAGCAACUAAGACUAUAUGAAAGGUCCUAAAAAUAAUAUAUGGUUCCUUUGCCACCAAAUACAUUUUCAAAAGUCAUGCAAUAUUUUACUGAUUGAUGAUUGUUGUAUGGUAUUACUUUUCACAAGGUUAAUCCUAUGUAGUGGUGAAAUUUGGCUAAGCAGAUGAGUAAAUUUGCAUAUAGGUAAGUCUACAGCAAUGUCUUCAAAGUGGAAACUUGGAUCUUCUCUAAAAAAAAAAAAAAGGUGAGUAACAUCUAAAACCAGUUACUCCUGGACAGCUUGUAGAGAUUCCCAUGUUAAACAAUGUGUUGAUUUUUUUCUUUAACUUUCAUCAGUUUACCAUAAAUAUAUUUUUCUCUCCCUAGUCAGUAACCGGAGUGAGUGUACCAUGAAAGAUCAUCAUAGAAGAUGAAGAUAAUAUGAACCAUUGCCUUCUUUCCAUGAAUCAUGACUUCAGUGUCCAAGAUCAGAAAAAGUAAUAAAGGAAAUAUAUAUAUAUAUUUUUUGUUUGUUUUUGUUUUUUGCUGGUUUCUGUAGGCACAUUCUGGUAUCUUGAUUCUUUCAAAGCUCGCCAAAAUAAAACAGGAAAGGAUACAACCAUAACUGCCACAGCCAGGAGCCUUGUUGGGAGUUUUCCUCUUUCCUUGUCUAGGACGAAAAGGCAUGGUUAAGUUCAUGAAAGGAGGCUUCAGAAAACUACUCCCAGCUGUAGCUCAGAGACACACCACAUAACUGUGAAAAACACUUGCAAAUUCUGCUAUGUUUGACCAAAGAAUGAAUAUAAUAUUGUCAAAUUUAGUAAAAUAUUGCUAAUGUUUGUAUAUUUUGCAUUCUAUUAACUUUGUUUUUAAAAAAUGUAAUCCUUUUUUUCAUGAAUACAGUUUAUCUUAAAUCUAAAAGAGCUACUAUUUGUUAGAAUUUGGGCUGUGUUGUAGUUCUGCAUGUGACUUUUCCUUUGUCCUACAUUUCUCCUGGUCCAUUUUACAACUCUUUAUUUUAUUUUAUUUUAUUUUAUUUUACUUUAUUUUUAUUUUAUUUUAUUAUGUGCUUUUUUUUUUUUUUUUUGACUGGAAACUCUGUUUUUAUUAAGUUGCUUCAGUAUGGACUACUGCUAGGUACAGGUUGAUCUAACUCAUUCAUUCAUCAUUUGCACAAGUAUAUUAUCCCAAUCCUUUCAGUUAUAAUUUAUUUUUAUUUUUUCAUGCUUCCUUUAUGUUUCUGUUGCAUUUUUUAACUUCCUGUGAUAAGUUCAAGUUUAUUCUUUUUCAUGCCCUUGCUCAUCAUUGUUACUACUGUCUCACCCAAAUGCAAAUAUUUGAAAUAUUUGAAAGAGCUGCUCACGUAUUUUUAUCAAUCUUCUUGUUCCUUGUGAAUUGGAAUUUUGUUUUAUCUUGUUUUUAUCACAGUUGGAUACCCAGGGCUAUUCAUAGAUAAUCUCUUCUCUGUGAGUGUGGUGUUUGGGUACAAAGGCUUCUCAGAACAGCUCUGGAGACUUGUGGAAUCCCAGACACAGCGGUGCAGCUAAUCUGGAUGGGACUGGAAAUCCACCUAUUCUAAUAUCUCUGGAGUCUAGCAUGGCCAAGACCAGUUGCUCAAGGAUGUUACAGCAGACCUUCUGUGUUUCUUUGCCGUAAACCAGCUGUCAGCAGCCAGAGCAUUCCAAUGCUUAUUUCCAAUGUUGAACACGUGUAGCUACUUUGUCAGCCUCUUCAUUCCUGUGGUCUGUGACUAGUCCAUAAUCCCUCAGUUAUUCUAAAUGCACCAGUUUUGCUUCAUAUGUCUACAACAAGUAAAGAGGAAAGAAAGAAUGGCCAUGAAAUACUGUGUUCUGUAAUCUCAGCACUGACCAAGUACCAUAUACAAACCUGAGAUGCCUUCUCACAGGAUUAAUCCUCCACCAUCUACAAGCUCUUUCAGCUGCAACAUGAACAAACAGCAAGCUCAGACUCAGCGCUGCUUUGAAUUACAUCAGCAGCAACAGCCCUACAUGUUCAUGCUCCAAAAUGUGGAGUCCCUGCAAUGUGAUGGUGCAUCUGAACUGGGCAGGGGAGGUGAGUGGAUGUGGUACCUGACUUUUUUCAUUGCCAUGCAACCACCUGUGGAUGAUGGGCAGAGUCAGAACGGCACAAACCCAUUCUGUUAGUGCCAGCAAUCCCACUCUUGCUUCUUUACUAGAUUGCUCUUGUUUUCCUUUAAGAGAGAUUUGUAACAGUAUGAGCUUGUGCCCAAUUAGGCAAGAGUUAAAAACAGCAAUUAAAAAUACUAACAUUUAAUUUUAGAAAGUGGAGGCAGACUGGAAUAAUCCAAAGCAGACAGCAGGGUCAACAACAGACAUGGUCUGUAAAUUGACUCUGUCUGGAGUGAGCAAACUAGGUAACUGCUGAUUAGGCAGGUCUUGUGAUGUGCCUUUUGUGAAAACAAAUUCAAGCUGCAGCCUUCCAUACACAGUACAGCUGAUGAUGGGUUGUUACUUAAAUGUCUGGGAAAGCAGCUUUCAGAUCCUGAGCCUGUCAGAAAAAAAAAAAACAGCAUGAGGGGACACAAAUAAUGAAAACAAAAGUACACAGAGAACUGGACGGAUAACACCAGUGCAGAGGUCAACAGUGUGAUAUGCCCUGAAAUAUAUUGCAGGAAACUGUAAAGUCAAAGCUGACCCAGAACAGCAAAAUAGUUUCCAUGUGUUUAUUACUUGCUGUGCUUGGGCCCCAGUGGGGCAAACAGUAUCAGUUAUGUUUUUCUUUCCCCAUGCAGGGUGUCAGGUUUUAAGAUGCUUCCUAUUGCUGGAGAAAGAGACUGUAAAAUUGCACUGACAGGUGUUAAGAAAAAAGUCUUAUUUCCAGCUGUCGCAUAUACACAAUUCACAAAACAGCUGAGAAAUCGGAAGCAAUCUUAUGGAUUUCUAGUCAGACCUUUCUGACUGGAAGAUGAGACUGAGUAGAGGAAGGUAAUAAAAGGGGGGCACUUGGCUGAUUUACUUCUUGUGAGUGUGAGGCCUCAGACUGGCACUACGAAUAAUUCUUAUUCUUGUUUUUUAACAACAAAAAUUCUGGUCCACUCAGAGUGAAGUAGUUACUAAUUUUAUUAAAACAAAAUCACAAAGAAACAAAACCUGUAGGCAACUCUACUAUAAUUAUUACUUGACUCACUCUGCAAAAGGCAGCUGCUGUAAUUUUACAUGCACUUCCAGCAUCAGCUGCUGGUCUAAUGAGCUUUGGAAGACUAGCUCUGCCAGCCAGCCAGCUCCAAGAAAUACAGAAGCAUGGAAAAAGUGGCAUUGAUGUUUCAAUAAGUGAGAUUCUUUCCUCUGACUCAGCAUGAACAAAAUGUCAUGGAAGAGUGUUGGAGGAUCUAGGAGGCACCACUUUUAAAUAAGACUUAAAACUGGGACCCAUCUUCUCACUGGGAGUGAGACACUCUCCAGUGCACAGAUGAUAAAUACCUGUACGUGGUCAUAGACUUGAAGGAAUCCAGACUCACAGUGGGAAAAUACAAUUUUGGCUGUUUGCCAUAUGUGGGAGCUUAAUAAACACUACUGGAUAUUUCAGCAUGGCACAAACUAGUUCCAAAUGAAGUAAUUCAGAUCUCUUAAAUAGGAUUCCUGUUGUACCACCGGACCUUCAUCCAGAGAAGUUCUCUGCAGGCUGCUGCUCCAGUGCAGAGUAAGGUUUGUGUCUUUGUAUCAUUGUGCCCCAAAGUCAUGGCUCUUGUCACCUUUGUGGUUAAGCCUCUAGCCCAGAUGUAACUUCUGGUGGUCCGGGUGUCUUGAUGCCAGCAGCUGAGUCCUAGAAAAAAGUUCAUAUUCCGAAUUAGACAAGGAGGAAUCAUAGGUUGGAAUUAAAUCUGCGUUUCCCAUUUGGCUUUGUUCUGAUCCACAAUUGUUCUCACAGUACAGUUAAAAAUAAAAUGACCUCUUUCUUUUUCUAACUGCUGUCAAAAUUGUCAUUCCCCACCAGAUGCCCUAACUUCCAACUGCUCCCCGCUGGUACUGCUGCCCCUGUUGUCUCUCAGUCCAAAGAGCUUCUGAACAAGAGACAUGCUUUUAUGGAGCCCGGCAAAGCUUCAGAAGGGAAAAGGAAAAAUCAAUACCGCUUCAAAGCAAAGUCUUUGCUUCAGUGAAUAUGACAUUUGCCCUUUCUUCACUAGUGGGAAAAACAACAAGGACACUUACGCCAGCAAUGGAAAUAGAAUGAAUGACAACAGAGAGACCUUCCAGGUUUGACUUGUAAAGAGAAAUGACUUUAUAGGCAUUGUCCCUAUUUGGUGACAUCAAAAGCAGGUGUAGGGUGUUAGGUGGUGCAGUCUGAGAAUGGAGGGGAAAGUAACACAAAGUCAAAGAGAAGAGUUGAAGGAAUUUGGAACAAGUAAUAAUGGACUCAGCUGAAAAGAUGGAGGAUAAAAGACAGAAUAAAGGUGAAGUUCAUUGCUGCACCAUCAAAUCAACUACAAAAUGUCACCUGAAAAUGUGGGCCACAAUAUUAAAAGAACUUUCUAGUAAGUUUUACAUCAUUUCAACAGCUUCUGAAAAUGGCCAGAGAAUUUCAGUUUGCCAAUGAAUGGCUUCUCACUAGGGCUGAAGCUGGUUAGAAAUUUUCCAAGAGAAGUUGCAAAUACCGAUUAAAUAAAUGAAUGUCUCUACAAAAUCAAAACAACUUUGAAAAAUCCUCAGUGAUGUUUUUGGAGGGUUUACAAAAAUGUCAAAUAAAUGUAAGUCUUACAACUCUGCUUCAAUUCAUUUUCUUAUUCAAGUUUUCAUUAAUUUAAUUCCUGUUUAAUUCUGACUGCUUUUUGUUUCCAGUUCUUUUUGCUUCAAAACUAGAUGCUUGUUCCAAGUCCCUAAUCUCAUUCUGCUUUGACUAUGCCACUUCUUAGCUAGUUUUCCAAGUUGUUUUGUUUUGAUGUUUCUACUUCUGUGCCAUUUUUCCACAUUCCUCUUUCUUUUAGAAUAAAAUGCAUUGUUUCAA
Long non-coding RNA from Oxyura jamaicensis (ruddy duck), 5129 nucleotides. RefSeq lists it as uncharacterized. Lineage: Eukaryota; Metazoa; Chordata; Aves; Anseriformes; Anatidae. The transcript is spliced from 4 exons. The record is from RefSeq and is a predicted model, not a curated record.